RNAcentral lists this ribosomal RNA (279 nucleotides) under uncultured bacterium. RNAcentral describes it as "partial 16S ribosomal RNA". It matches the Rfam family "Bacterial small subunit ribosomal RNA", at positions 506 to 784 of the family's 1533-position model. The record is from RNAcentral.
UGCCAGCAGCCGCUGUACUCCUGAUUGUGCAAUCGUUGUCCGGAUUUAUUGGGUUUAAAGGGUGCGUAGGCGGUCUUUUAAGUCAGUGGUGAAAUCCCGCAGCUCAACUGCGGAACUGCCAUUGAUACUGAAGGACUUGAGUACAGACGAGGUAGGCGGAAUUUAUGGUGUAGCGGUGAAAUGCAUAGAUACCAUAAAGAACACCGAUAGCGAAGGCAGCUUACUAGACUGUAACUGACGCUGAGGCACGAAAGCGUGGGGAGCGAACAGGAUUAGAUA